UUUUGGAACGACGAAUCCAAGAUGUCUGCGCCCUUGAUGUCAACAUCGAGUAGCGAAGAAGAGGAAAUUACUGUCAGACCUCAUUCUAAACUCCGUAAAAAGGAUUAUAAACAAUGCUACAUGCAUCUCGCGUCCAUAAAGAAAGAAGAGACGAAGGAUUUUACACACACACGAUGGGAUGCAUACAGAAAUAGCGUCAAACGGUGGCUUGGUUUGCAUGGUGAGAAUCAGAGAAUAGCCGAAACAUACAAACAUUGUCUAGAAAUUGAAUUUGUUCGGGAAAUGUUCCCGAAGACGCUGGAUUUCAUUCCACUUGCUACAGGGGUUUCAUUGACAAAAAGCGCCUGGAUGCGGCAGAGAAACGAGUCAUACAGCAUCCUGAAAUUCAAGAUGCUCACAAAGACCAGUCUGUCAUCGAGUAGUAGUACCUCAACAACUGAAUGUCCUAAAAAGAAACGUAGGUCCAUGACGGGCCAGUAGCUUGUGCAGGUCCUGUGCUUUCUGCCUUGUGCAUCAUUUAUAAGAAAACGGACAAGUACAUUACUGUGGCAGGAAAACGAAAGAAGGACCAUCUUUCACAGGCAGAAACGUGGUGUGCAGGCCAGUAGCUGAAAGCUGCUGAAAUGAAGGAAGACACUAGCAUUCCUGUGCAUAUUCAACACAAAGACUGCGUUUCUCUGGAGGUGCGAUACCACAAGUCCUGUUGCAGACAGUACACCAGGUUCUUGACGAAGUCUACUGGAACAGUAACUGGGACCUCAGAAGAACAAAAUGAGCCAACCUUCGAUGUCGGCUACAAGAUCUUCUGUACAAGCGCAACAUCAGUGAGCUGGUUUUUGUUGAGACACUGUCUGCAGAUAAGCUGAUCAACAGGCUCCCUCAUCCAUCAGGUACAGAAACAAGAGUCAACUGAGGUAACUAGCCAAAGUGACGGUGAAAACACGUCAAGUAAAACAGCCGGUCCUCAAAGACAAACUUCAGUGGGCUCUAUCAAUACUACAGAGGACACAAGGACACAAUAUAGUGCAGCAUUAAUAUUAAAGAUGCUCCUAUGUGACUCUUCCAGUAUGACAUGUCCAUUGCCACCCACAUCAGAUGAUUUAAAUGCGAGUGAAGCAAAAUCUGUUGUGCCACUCGAACUGUACAAUCUAAUUUCCUGGAUUAUUGGUGCAACUGAGGAACCAACACUGGCCCAUUAGGUUGAUAUUACAGAUGAUUUGAGCCUAAAAGUGAUAUCUAUUUGUCAAGACAUUGUGUAUCUUGCAAAAAGGGAGUUUCCUCAUUCAAAGCACCCCCUUGCCUCCCUAUCAAACAGUAUCACCAGUCUACAAAGCAAGGACCAAAGAAAUUUUCAUCAUGAAAGUGUUCCAUUACAGGUAGACACAUACAAGUUGAACACAAUGUCUGCUGCACAAACUGAACUGGCAUAUGUUUUUUUUUAAGGUCCAUAGAUGCUGAAAGAUGCACAAUCCCAAGCUGGACAGGUUUCCAUACAUUGCUUCAAGGAAAACAAUGGAGUCGUUGGAUUCUGGUUGCUCUGCACAGGGGCUGUGCAACACUGGCACCUUUUUAGCCUGACCACAAUAUUACGCUAAUGCUACCACAAGCACACUAAUUAGACAAGUCAUUCUGUCACAUCACCUCCCCCUUUUCCAGGCAGGGAACUGACCAGGUAGACGGCUUUUAGAUUCUGGUUGUGCUUUACCACAAAAUCUGAUGGCUGCAGGGAACAGUACCUCUGUGGAGUACUGGGUUUCACUUGGUAGCUCAGGAAUGAGAUUGUCUCUCUGCACCAGCAUCUCCUUGGGCCAGGACAGCAUCUCCUUGGCCAAUUUCUACUGCAAAAGCAUCCACUUGGACAAUGAAUCUUCUCCUAAAAUCUGGACUCUUUGAAAUAGGGCUAGAAUACAUCUUCUUCAUUAAUGUUUGACAGCCACUUCACAUUCCUCAGUCCACUGUAUCAGGUUGCUUGUGGUUUUGCUUAGUAGGUUGGCCAGCGGAACUGAAAAAGUCCCACUAAGUAACAUGCAUAGUAAAAGAAAAACGCUAUUGUAAAUUAUUAUAUUUCUGUUCGUGGACUUGUUUAAACUAAGUGUGUG
Long non-coding RNA from Silurus meridionalis, 2099 nucleotides. RefSeq lists it as uncharacterized. The transcript has 4 exons. The record is from RefSeq and is a predicted model, not a curated record. NCBI's taxonomy places the organism in Eukaryota, Metazoa, Chordata, Actinopteri, Siluriformes, Siluridae.